UACAGAGGGGGCAAGCGUUAUUCGGAAUUAUUGGGCGUAAAGGGCGCGUAGGCGGCUACACAAGUGGCGGGUGAAAUCCCUCGGCUUAACCGAGGAACUGCCUGCCAGACUGUGUGGCUUGAGACCGGGAGAGGUGAGUGGACUUCCCAGUGUAGCGGUGAAAUGCGUAGAUAUUGGGAGGAACACCAGUGGCGAAGGCGGCUCACUGGACCGGAACUGACGCUGAGGCGCGAAAGCGUGGGGAGCAAACAGG
This 253-nucleotide ribosomal RNA is filed under the name uncultured bacterium. RNAcentral describes it as "partial 16S ribosomal RNA". It matches the Rfam family "Bacterial small subunit ribosomal RNA", at positions 524 to 776 of the family's 1533-position model. The record is from RNAcentral.